GAUGAACGCUGGCGGCGUGCCUAAUACAUGCAAGUCGAGCGAACGGACGAGAAGCUUGCUUCUCUGAUGUUAGCGGCGGACGGGUGAGUAACACGUGGAUAACCUACCUAUAAGACUGGGAUAACUUCGGGAAACCGGAGCUAAUACCGGAUAAUAUUUUGAACCGCAUGGUUCAAAAGUGAAAGACGGUCUUGCUGUCACUUAUAGAUGGAUCCGCGCUGCAUUAGCUAGUUGGUAAGGUAACGGCUUACCAAGGCAACGAUGCAUAGCCGACCUGAGAGGGUGAUCGGCCACACUGGAACUGAGACACGGUCCAGACUCCUACGGGAGGCAGCAGUAGGGAAUCUUCCGCAAUGGGCGAAAGCCUGACGGAGCAACGCCGCGUGAGUGAUGAAGGUCUUCGGUUCGUAAAACUCUGUUAUUAGGGAAGAACAUACGUGUAAGUAACUGUGCACAUCUUGACGGUACCUAAUCAGAAAGCCACGGCUAACUACGUG
RNAcentral lists this ribosomal RNA (497 nucleotides) under uncultured bacterium. RNAcentral's name for it is "partial 16S ribosomal RNA". It matches the Rfam family "Bacterial small subunit ribosomal RNA", at positions 28 to 507 of the family's 1533-position model. The record is from RNAcentral.